Molecule: ribosomal RNA, 405 nt
Filed under: uncultured bacterium
Lineage: Bacteria
Also listed under: 1 other name
Description: partial 16S ribosomal RNA
Rfam family: Bacterial small subunit ribosomal RNA
Source: RNAcentral
UGGGGAAUUUUACGCAAUGGGCGAAAGCCUGACGUAGCGACACCGCGUGAGCGAAGAAGCCCCUUGGGGUGUAAAGCUCUGUCAGCUGGAACGAAAAAAAUGACGGUACCAGCAGAGGAAGCAUCGGCUAACUACGUGCCAGCAGCCGCGGUAAGACGUAGGAUGCAAGCGUUGUCCGGAUUUAUUGGGCGUAAAGAGUUCGUAGGUGGUUUGUUAAGUUUGGUGUUAAAGAUUGGGGCUCAACCCUGAAACUGCACUGAAUACUGGCAGACUCGAGUGUGGUAGAGGCUAGUGGAAUUCCCAGUGUAGCGGUGAAAUGCGUAGAUAUUGGGAAGAACACCGGUGGCGUAGGCGACUAGCUGGGCCAUAACUGACACUGAGGAACGAAAGCCAGGGGAGCGAAUG